CUAAUUCAGAAAACAAGCCAGUCUGUAAGUGUUUCGAAGAUAGAGAUAAAAUGCCUAAAGAGUUUGCGCAUAAAAUUCUUGAAGAAGUUAAAAAAGCUGUGGAAUGCGAUGUGCCUCCUGCUAGUGUAGAGGAGUUAUUUCGUAGUUUGCGCAUUAAUCAAGAGAUUUUUGAGAUGGCUUAUAGGCGUUUAGAGAAGAAGCACAAGGUAGUCUAUAGGAGAGGGGUGAACGAGGUUUGGGUCAAUCAGUAUAGCAAGAAGUUGUUGAAGUGCUGGAACGCUAACAUGGACAUUAGCUUUGUCACCGACGCCUACGCAGUAGUGAUAUACAUAAUAUCGUAUAUUACGAAAGCAGAGAGAGAAAUUGGCCUGUUAUUGACUAAUGCCCAAAAAGAAGCAAAAAAACAAGGGAAUCUCUCUGCUAAAGAAGCCCUGCGGAAGCUGGGCAGUGUAUAUUUACACAAUAGGGAUGUUUGUGCGCAGGAGGCGGUGUAUAGGCUAACGAACAUGCACCUUAGGGAGUGUUCCAGAAAGGUUGUGUUUGUGCCGACAGGCAGUAGAAUAGUUAGAAUGAGUUUGCCCCUCAGUGUGUUGAGGCAGAUGGCGGCCUCCCGUGAUCUACGGGAGGAGGAUAUGUUUAUGAUUAGUAUAGUAGAUAGGUAUAGGAAUAGGCCUGACAGCGUAGUGUUUGAUAACAUGUGUAUGGCUACCUUUGCAUCUGAGUAUCGUGUUCUCAGCAAAAAUGAGAUGUCUAAAGACAGAAUUGAACUGAAGAAUGACUUAGGAUUCAUUCUUAGGAGAACACGCACUCAGUUUGCAGUGGUGCGAUACAUGCGUUUUAAUUUGGAUAGAGAGGAGGAGGCACAUUUUCAGAGCCUGUUGCAGUUGUUUCUUCCUUAUAGAACUGACUCAGACCUCAAACCUGAUGGCUUUGAGCUGUUUGAGCAGUUCUAUAACGAUGGUGAGGUGUUGUUUAGCGACGGCUCUGUACAUUCGGUUAGUGAUGUUGUUGAUGAGAAUAGGGCCAGGUUUGAGGUCAAUUGUCCUCACCUUGAGUUAGCUCAGGAGAUAGCUGCGCAAAACAACGGUGUAGAUGAGGAUGUUUGGGGUGAGCUUUGUCCUGAACAGGAAGCGGAACGCCUAGAAGGUUUAGAGGAGAUGAGG
RNAcentral lists this long non-coding RNA (1163 nucleotides) under Myripristis murdjan (pinecone soldierfish). Its description in RNAcentral is "lncRNA (ENSMMDG00005001750.1)". Lineage: Eukaryota; Metazoa; Chordata; Actinopteri; Holocentriformes; Holocentridae. The record is from RNAcentral.